Long non-coding RNA from Populus euphratica (Euphrates poplar), 1511 nucleotides. RefSeq lists it as uncharacterized. The transcript has 4 exons. NCBI's taxonomy places the organism in Eukaryota, Viridiplantae, Streptophyta, Magnoliopsida, Malpighiales, Salicaceae. The record is from RefSeq and is a predicted model, not a curated record.
GUUUGGCAUUAGUGGAUGCUACCCUAAUUCUGCAAAUGAGAAACAAAUAAAUACGCAAACAGCUCUGUGAAAGGGCUCAGGAAAACCCACAAACCAGACCCAGAAAAGGAUUUAGAAGAUAAGCCUGUGGUCACAGCCAGAGGAGUCAAGAAAUUAGAAUGGUGGAGGUGGUGACAAUGUAACUAACAAAUCAGCCAGCACUGAUCCUGUAGCUGGAGCUGGAGCUGAGGACGAUGACAAUGAUGAUGAUUUUAUAACCACUGAGGUAAAGAGGAGGUUGAAAGAACUGAGAAGGAACUGUUUUAUGGUGCUGAUUCCUGAAGAAGAGUCAUGUGCUGAAGAGGAGGAGGAAGAGGAGGGGAAAGGUGAGACGAACUCAAACGAAUGGAGGAAGGCAAUGGUGGGGUGGGUUUGAUGCUCUGUAUGACCAUUACUCUGAGCGGAUGUUAUUUGAUUGGAUGAGUGUGCAGUUGCUUAAUGACUCUGGCUGCUACGCUCCCACAACUCCUCCAAGGCCUGCUUCCAAGAAUCUGACAUCACCCUUCCGCUGCCUUCUCUGAAAAGCUAGAAGAACCUGAAACAGAGCAUCUGCAGCAGGUACAGAAUGACCCAUAUGAAGAUAUUGAAACUGCAUAUGUUGCUCAAUUUUGCUCAACCUCCACUGCCAGUACACUUAACUGAUUCAAAAAAUCUCUUGCCAGCCUGGAAACCCUGCAUGUUGCAACCACAGUGCUGAGCUUUUUCAGCAAUUACAAAUUUUAUUGCUAAGGUUUAUAGAAAAUGAACCUUUGGAGCAGGAAUUUAUGCUUGUGCAAGGAAUGCUUUGCGUAAAUUGCUCCAGGUUCCCAACGCAAAAGGUUUGGAUAGAAAGAUACAGGAGAAAUGUCAUCAGAUUAUGUGGUCUGGCCCCUGAUCUCCUCAGGAUAAUUGAGAGUUUCGAUCCUUAAUUCCCACCGUUUCCUGAAGAUGGACAAGAAAAAACAAUAUAAUGCCCGUUACUUGUUUGGAAAUUAGAACCAGAUAUUCAACUGAUUCAAUCUUCGCUUGAGAAGGUGAGAUUUCUACCGUCCUGUCUUGUGUAUUAGUGCUAAAGAUUGCUAGUUAAUUGCAUAUAUUGUUGUUCCUUUGAAAAGUAUCCCGAAAACUAAAAAAAAAUCACCUUCACAUGAACAUGGAAAAUAAACCUUUAGAGACGGUUUUGAAAUCAAUAUAUCCAGUAACAUGUUAAGUAUUGUUCAAAAAUUCAUUGAGGAUUUUGAAAGCAACCUUCAAAGGGGCUGGGUGUGGCGGUGUUAGCGCAUGUAGCUCACACGCUUAUGUUACUAGUGGCGUGCUGAUACACACUCCGGUGAAAGGGAUGGCGCGUGAUUGGUUAGAUAAAGUGGUUCUCUUUCUCCUCCUCAUCACUCACAUGCUAGCAGUGUCACUAGCAACUACCCGAAAUGAAAGUUUCAAGCAUGGGAAGUUUUGGUUGACAUCUCACUUUGGGUCGUCAGCUUGAUUGUGGUUUG